GGGGAAUAUUGGACAAUGGGCGGACGCCUGAUCCAGCAACGCCGCGUGAGGGAUGACGGCCUUCGGGUUGUAAACCUCUUUCACCCAUGACGAAGCGCAAGUGACGGUAGUGGGAGAAGAAGCACCGGCCAACUACGUGCCAGCAGCCGCGGUAAUACGUAGGGUGCGAGCGUUGUCCGGAAUUAUUGGGCGUAAAGGGCUCGUAGGCGGUUUGUCGCGUCGGGAGUGAAAACACACAGCUUAACUGUGUGCUUGCUUUUGAUACGGGCAGACUGGAGGUAUGCAGGGGAGAACGGAAUUCCUGGUGUAGCGGUGAAAUGCGCAGAUAUCAGGAGGAACACCGGUGGCGAAGGCGGUUCUCUGGGCAUUACCUGACGCUGAGGAGCAAAAGUGUGGGGAGCGAAC
RNAcentral lists this ribosomal RNA (405 nucleotides) under uncultured bacterium. Its description in RNAcentral is "bacterial SSU rRNA". It matches the Rfam family "Bacterial small subunit ribosomal RNA", at positions 356 to 773 of the family's 1533-position model. The record is from RNAcentral.